This 224-nucleotide unclassified non-coding RNA is filed under the name Hevea brasiliensis (rubber tree). The record is from RNAcentral. Lineage: Eukaryota; Viridiplantae; Streptophyta; Magnoliopsida; Malpighiales; Euphorbiaceae.
AAUGGUUAUAUAAUGCGAUAACAUCAUUUGAUUGUGAUGAUGGUAACAUAACAAAUGAGAGAAUGUGAGCCAUAUUAUAGUCAUGUGCUGAUCUGGCGUCCACAUUGCAAUAUAUCCAAGACAAAAUCAAACCUGAUAUUGAAAAUUCAAUCUUGUAAGAGUAUGUUAUGUGUUACUGCUUAAAAAACACUUGCAUACAGUAUCCCUAAUAAAAUAUACUUGAA